Molecule: transfer RNA, 69 nt
Filed under: Myxacorys californica WJT36-NPBG1
Lineage: Bacteria; Bacillati; Cyanobacteriota; Cyanophyceae; Leptolyngbyales; Leptolyngbyaceae
Also listed under: 1 other name
Description: tRNA-Ser
Rfam family: tRNA
About the family: Transfer RNA (tRNA) molecules are approximately 80 nucleotides in length. Their secondary structure includes four short double-helical elements and three loops (D, anti-codon, and T loops).
Source: RNAcentral
GGAGGCAUGAUUGAGAGGCGCAUCUCAAUGGCAUUGAGAGGGUCAGCGGUUCGAAUCCGCUUAGCUCCA